AUUGAACGCUGGCGGCAGGCCUAAUACAUGCAAGUCGAACGGUAACAGGAAGCAGCUUGCUGCUUCGCUGACGAGUGGCGGACGGGUGAGUAAUGUCUGGGAAGCUGCCUGAUGGAGGGGGAUAACUACUGGAAACGGUAGCUAAUACCGCAUAAUGUCGCAAGACCAAAGAGGGGGACCUUCGGGCCUCUUGCCAUCGGAUGUGCCCAGAUGGGAUUAGCUUGUUGGUGGGGUAACGGCUCACCAAGGCGACGAUCCCUAGCUGGUCUGAGAGGGUGACCAGCCACACUGGGACUGAGACACGGUCCAGACUCCUACGGGAGGCAGCAGUGGGGAAUAUUGCACAAUGGGCGCAAGCCUGAUGCAGCCAUGCCGCGUGUAUGAAGAAGGCCUUCGGGUUGUAAAGUACUUUCAGCGGGGAGGAAGGGAGUAAAGUUAAUACCUUUGCUCAUUGACGUUACCCGCAGAAGAAGCACCGGCUAACUCCGUG
RNAcentral lists this ribosomal RNA (490 nucleotides) under uncultured bacterium. Its description in RNAcentral is "partial 16S ribosomal RNA". It matches the Rfam family "Bacterial small subunit ribosomal RNA", at positions 30 to 507 of the family's 1533-position model. The record is from RNAcentral.